UACAGAGGGUGCAAGCGUUAAUCGGAAUUACUGGGCGUAAAGCGUGCGUAGACGGUUGUUUAAGUCGGAUGUGAAAUCCCCGGGCUCAACCUGGGAAUUGCAUUCGAGACUGAACAGCUAGGGUGCGGAAGAGGGAAGCGGAAUUUCCGGUGUAGCGGUGAAAUGCGUAGAUAUCGGAAGGAACAUCAGUGGCGAAGACGGCUUCCUGGUCCAGCACCGACGUUCAGGCACGAAAGCGUGGGGAGCAAACAGG
RNAcentral lists this ribosomal RNA (253 nucleotides) under uncultured bacterium. RNAcentral describes it as "partial 16S ribosomal RNA". It matches the Rfam family "Bacterial small subunit ribosomal RNA", at positions 524 to 776 of the family's 1533-position model. The record is from RNAcentral.